Molecule: ribosomal RNA, 449 nt
Filed under: uncultured bacterium
Lineage: Bacteria
Description: bacterial SSU rRNA
Rfam family: Bacterial small subunit ribosomal RNA
Source: RNAcentral
CCUACGGGUGGCUGCAGUCGAGGAUCUUCGGCAAUGCGCGCAAGCGCGACCGAGCGACGCCGCGUGGGCGAUGAAGGCCUUCGGGUUGUAAAGCCCUGUCGAGGGGGAGAAAAGCCGCAAGGUGUGAUCUAUCCCUGGAGGAAGCUCGGGCUAAGUUCGUGCCAGCAGCCGCGGUAAGACGAACCGAGCGAACGUUGUUCGGAAUCACUGGGCUUAAAGGGCGCGUAGGCGGGCUGCCAAGUUUGGGGUGAAAUCCUCCGGCUCAACCGGGGAAGUGCCUUGAAUACUGGCGGUCUGGAGGGGGGUAGGGGCGUGCGGAACUAACGGUGGAGCGGUGAAAUGCGUUGAUAUCGUUAGGAACUCCGGUGGCGAAGGCGGCACGCUGGACCCUCACUGACGCUGAGGCGCGAAAGCCAGGGGAGCGAACGGGAUUAGAUACCCUAGUAGUC